This 200-nucleotide long non-coding RNA is filed under the name Elaeis guineensis (African oil palm). RNAcentral describes it as "long non-coding RNA (EGUI_LNC024163)". The record is from RNAcentral. Lineage: Eukaryota; Viridiplantae; Streptophyta; Magnoliopsida; Arecales; Arecaceae.
GGGCAGAAUGAAGGUCUCUACAAAAGCUAUGGCAUGGAGAAAGAUAUCUUUUGGUCGAGGCAUUGGGCUUUAUUUAUAGGUAUAGGCAGCAUGAGGAUUUAAUUGAGUAAGUAAUGUGAGACUAAAAAUUAGAGAUGGGAACAAGGGUGGCUAGGGUUUCUUUUAAAGUGUAUAUAUGAGGGCCAUAAAUAAUAGAGGGU